RNAcentral lists this transfer RNA (67 nucleotides) under Marmota monax (woodchuck). Its description in RNAcentral is "tRNA.Thr". The record is from RNAcentral. Lineage: Eukaryota; Metazoa; Chordata; Mammalia; Rodentia; Sciuridae.
GGUUGUGGCUCAGUGGUAGAAUGCUCGCCUGGUGCGCGCAAGGCCCUGGAUUCGAUUCUCAGCACCA